CCUACGAGGUGCAGCAGUAGGGAAUAUUGCUCAAUGGGGGCAACCCUGAAGCAGCAACGCCGCGUGGAGGAUGAAGGUUUUCGGAUUGUAAACUCCUUUUGGUAGAGAAGAUAAUGACGGUAUCUAACGAAUAAUCACCGGCUAACUCCGUGCCAGCAGCCGCGGUAAUACGGAGGGUGCAAGCGUUACUCGGAAUCACUGGGCGUAAGGAGCGCGUAGGCGGGUUAACAAGUUAGAUGUGAAGUCCCAUGGCUUAACCAUAGAAUUGCAUUUGAAACUGGUAUUCUAGAGUGUGGGAGAGGUAGGUGGAAUUCUUGGUGUAGGGGUAAAAUCCGUAGAGAUCAGGAGGAAUACCCAUUGCGAAGGCGACCUGCUAGAACAUAACUGACGCUGAUGCGCGAAAGCGUGGGGAGCAAACAGGAUUAGAUACCCGAGUAGGC
This 440-nucleotide ribosomal RNA is filed under the name uncultured bacterium. RNAcentral's name for it is "partial 16S ribosomal RNA". It matches the Rfam family "Bacterial small subunit ribosomal RNA", at positions 338 to 795 of the family's 1533-position model. The record is from RNAcentral.